CAUUCUCCACGGGUUCUUUAAGGGACCCCGUGUGAAACAUUCUCCACGGGUUCUUUAAGGGACCCAGUGUGAAACGUUCUCCACGGGUUCAUUAAGGGCCCCCGUGUGAAACAUUCUCCAUGGGUUCUUUAAGGGACCCCGUGUGAAACAUUCUCCACGGGUUCUUUAAGGGACCCAGUGUGAAACGUUCUCCACAGGUUCUUUAAGGGAACCUGUGUGAAAUGUUCUCCACGGGUUCUUUAAGGGACCCCGUGUGAAACAUUCUCCACGGGUUCUUUAAGGGACCCCGUGUGAA
Thalassophryne amazonica is the source of this 295-nucleotide long non-coding RNA. RefSeq lists it as uncharacterized. NCBI's taxonomy places the organism in Eukaryota, Metazoa, Chordata, Actinopteri, Batrachoidiformes, Batrachoididae. The transcript has 3 exons. The record is from RefSeq and is a predicted model, not a curated record.